AUCUGAAAAAUAAAAUUACUUGAUUUUUCCAGGAAUUCUUUUUAAAUGUAAAAAGUAGGAUCAGAAGUUUGGAGACGAAUACUACUAUUAACAGUUUUCCUAAAUGGUUCAAUUCCGAAGUAGAACUCGUUAAGAAAUUUCAUCUUGCAGACAAAUCUAUACAUAAAGCAUUAUGCGACAAUAUCGAUACGAGGACUGUUCUCGAUUUAAUACGGGAGCUCGUGGCAAAUUGCAAUGUGUACAUGAAUCAAAGUAAAAAUCCAAAUACGAUUUUUCUCAAGCGUAUUGCGAUGUAUAUUACUGACAUGUUUAUCAUUUUUGGGGCUAUUCCUUCCUCGUAUGACUCAAUCGGAUUUCCAAUUGAUGAUGAGGCAGUCAGUAAAAAUGUUGAAAAGACUGAAAAGGCUGAAAAGUUAUGUUAUCAUAUUCUGAAAAAUUUCCGAUUUAAAGUUCGCAAAUGCGCGGAAACCUUGAAGGCAAACGAUAUUUUGCAAGAGUGCGAUCGA
Temnothorax curvispinosus is the source of this 506-nucleotide long non-coding RNA. RefSeq lists it as uncharacterized. The record is from RefSeq and is a predicted model, not a curated record. NCBI's taxonomy places the organism in Eukaryota, Metazoa, Arthropoda, Insecta, Hymenoptera, Formicidae. The transcript is spliced from 3 exons.